CCGGCCCCGCCCCGCGCGGGCCCCAUUGUCCGCGGCACCUGCCCGGCCCCGCCCCGCCCCGCCCGCCCCUUUGGCUCCCGCCCGGGACGCGGCCACCGCCCCCCGCCGAGCCCCCGCUGCGCCCCCGCCGAGCCCCCGCCACCCCGCUCCCAACUUCGCCUGGGCUCGCUUCUUCCUUUCGGCACCCGCAGACUCGGCAGCGAUGACUUUGAGAACGCUCCAGCUCUCAGUCAGCACCGGAGGCGAGAACCAGGAGACUUGAGCCUUCUGCUUACUUCUCCAUCAGCAUUUAUUUCCUAAUGGAGUUCAAGAGGACUACAGCAAGAGCAACUGAAGAAGCCCUGCUUCGAAGCCUCAUGGGCGACUCUCAUCUAGGAUACAGGGAGGUGGAUGCAAAUCACUGACAACAAACUGAAUGGAGCCCCAGGCAUCAGCAUGCUGAGCUGCUGGAUAACACAGGGCCAACACAGCACUGCCUGAAUUUCACCCUCCAUUUCUUUCAUUUUUCUUUCCAAUACCUAAAAAUAAGACAUUGAAGUGCCAAUCAAAUGGAAUGUCUUGUUCAGCAUGGAAUAAUGUUCUAGGGCCUCUAGUGCCAACAAGAAAACCUCCAAAAGAAUUAUUUGAUAUGUAAAACCAACACCAAAAAGCUGCUCGUUUGCGUGCGAAACAUCCACCAGCUGGUAGUAAGGAGUGGUGCUUGCUCCUUGACAUAUGGCCAUUAAUAAACAGCAUUAUAGCAUGUUAUCUACCUGUCCU
Molecule: long non-coding RNA, 759 nt
Filed under: Anser brachyrhynchus (Pink-footed goose)
Lineage: Eukaryota; Metazoa; Chordata; Aves; Anseriformes; Anatidae
Description: lncRNA (ENSABRG00000006222.1)
Source: RNAcentral